UGGGGCUUUAUUUAUUGAUGGCCAGGUGUUGCUCGGAAAGCCUUGGAGAUGGAUGCUGCAGCAGUGUAGAUGUUGUUGAGAGCGUAUCCCAUUUGGCAGCAUCAGAUAGCAGCUUCUCCAUGUUGGUGAUGCAGCUUUUUAUGUUGUAAGCCGACGCUAAGUAGACUGCAUCGUCAGCGUAUGUAGCAAACAUAUUGCAGCUGUAUCUGGGUGGCUUUGGCAUGUCGCUAGUGUACACAUUGUACAGCACAGGUCCGAGAACACUGCCCUGUGGUACUCCAGCUGCAAUGUUCAUUGUGGAAGAGGUGACGCCGUUGCAAAAAACCCUGAAGGAUCUGCCGGUUAGAGGAGACCUUCGUGCCACACUCUGUCAAAAGCUUCCUGAACGUCCAUAUAAACUGCUGAACAGUGCAUUUUCUUCUCGUGUGCCUGUAGGAUGAACUGGGUGACUCUGCCAAUUUGCUGUUCUGCUGAGUGCUGUUCACAAAAACCAAACUGAUGGUUUGGAAUAGAACUAGCAAAGCUGCUUACCUCAAACAAUCGACCCAGUAGGAGGCGCUCGAGAAGCUUAGAUAGCCCAGAGAGAAGACUGAUUGGCCUGUAGGAUGCCAGCUGAUCCGGUGGUUUGCCUGGCUUCGGUAUCAUGGUGACCGUGGCAGUCUUCCAUGCUUUUGGAUAAUGGCCAAAUUUGAGAGCAGCAUUAAAGAUGAGCGUCAAGUAAGUGAUGGCAGAGAUCGGCAGUGCCUUUAUCGCUCGAUUGCAAAUGCGAUCAAGCCCAGGUGACU
Molecule: long non-coding RNA, 785 nt
Organism: Drosophila obscura
Lineage: Eukaryota; Metazoa; Arthropoda; Insecta; Diptera; Drosophilidae
Exons: 3
Source: RefSeq, a predicted model, not a curated record